CAGUAGCCGCGGGAAUACGAAGGGUGCAAGCGUUACUCGGAAUUACUGGGCGUAAAGCGUGCGUAGGUGGUGGUUUAAGUCCGUUGUGAAAGCCCUGGGCUCAACCUGGGAAUUGCAGUGGAUACUGGGUCACUAGAGUGUGGUAGAGGAUAGUGGAAUUUCCGGUGUAGCAGUGAAAUGCGUAGAGAUCGGAAGGAACAUCUGUGGCGAAGGCGACUAUCUGGGCCAACACUGACACUGAGGCACGAAAGCGUGGGGGGCAAACAGGAUUAGAUACCCCUGUAGUCCCUGUCUCUUAUAC
This 301-nucleotide ribosomal RNA is filed under the name uncultured bacterium. Its description in RNAcentral is "partial 16S ribosomal RNA". It matches the Rfam family "Bacterial small subunit ribosomal RNA", at positions 509 to 807 of the family's 1533-position model. The record is from RNAcentral.